UACGUAUGGGGCAAGCGUUAUCCGGAUUUACUGGGUGUAAAGGGAGCGUAGACGGUAAUGUAAGUCUGAUGUGAAAGCCCGGGGCUCAACCCCGGGACUGCAUUGGAAACUAUGUAACUAGAGUACCGGAGAGGUAAGCGGAAUUCCUAGUGUAGCGGUGAAAUGCGUAGAUAUUAGGAGGAACACCAGUGGCGAAGGCGGCUUACUGGACGGAAACUGACGUUGAGGCUCGAAAGCGUGGGGAGCAAACAGG
This 253-nucleotide ribosomal RNA is filed under the name uncultured bacterium. RNAcentral describes it as "partial 16S ribosomal RNA". It matches the Rfam family "Bacterial small subunit ribosomal RNA", at positions 524 to 776 of the family's 1533-position model. The record is from RNAcentral.